CAUGCAAGUCGAACGAGCGAGAGAGAGCUUGCUUUCUCGAGCGAGUGGCGAACGGGUGAGUAACGCGUGAGGAACCUGCCUCAAAGAGGGGGACAACAGUUGGAAACGACUGCUAAUACCGCAUAAGCCCACGACCCGGCAUCGGGAAGAGGGAAAAGGAGCAAUCCGCUUUGAGAUGGCCUCGCGUCCGAUUAGCUAGUUGGUGAGGUAACGGCCCACCAAGGCGACGAUCGGUAGCCGGACUGAGAGGUUGAACGGCCACAUUGGGACUGAGACACGGCCCAGACUCCUACGGGAGGCAGCAGUGGGGAAUAUUGCACAAUGGGGGAAACCCUGAUGCAGCGACGCCGCGUGGAGGAAGAAGGUCUUCGGAUUGUAAACUCCUGUUGUUGAGGAAGAUAAUGACGGUACUCAACAAGGAAGUGACGGCUAACUACGUGCCAGCAGCCGCGGUAAAACGUAGGUCACAAGCGUUGUCCGGAAUUACUGGGUGUAAAGGGAGCGCAGGCGGGAAGACAAGUUGGAAGUGAAAUCCAUGGGCUCAACCCAUGAACUGCUUUCAAAACUGUUUUUCUUGAGUAGUGCAGAGGUAGGCGGAAUUCCCGGUGUAGCGGUGGAAUGCGUAGAUAUCGGGAGGAACACCAGUGGCGAAGGCGGCCUACUGGGCACCAACUGACGCUGAGGCUCGAAAGUGUGGGUAGCAAACAGGAUUAGAUACCCUGGUAGUCCACACCGUAAACGAUGAUUACUAGGUGUUGGAGGAUUGACCCCUUCAGUGCCGCAGUUAACACAAUAAGUAAUCCACCUGGGGAGUGCGACCGCAAGG
RNAcentral lists this ribosomal RNA (826 nucleotides) under uncultured bacterium. RNAcentral's name for it is "bacterial SSU rRNA". It matches the Rfam family "Bacterial small subunit ribosomal RNA", at positions 54 to 893 of the family's 1533-position model. The record is from RNAcentral.